GAUGAACGCUGGCGGCGUGCCUAAUACAUGCGAGUAGAACGCUGAAGGAGGAGCUUGCUCUUCUGGAUGAGUUGCGAACGGGUGAGUAACGCGUAGGUAACCUGCCUGGUAGCGGGGGAUAACUAUUGGAAACGAUAGCUAAUACCGCAUGACAACAGUUAUUGCAUGAUAACUGUUUAAAAGGGGCAACUGCUCCACUACCAGAUGGACCUGCGUUGUAUUAGCUAGUUGGUGAGGUAACGGCUCACCAAGGCGACGAUACAUAGCCGACCUGAGAGGGUGAUCGGCCACACUGGGACUGAGACACGGCCCAGACUCCUACGGGAGGCAGCAGUAGGGAAUCUUCGGCAAUGGACGGAAGUCUGACCGAGCAACGCCGCGUGAGUGAAGAAGGUUUUCGGAUCGUAAAGCUCUGUUGUAAGAGAAGAACGAGUGUGAGAGUGGAAAGUUCACACUGUGACGGUAUCUUACCAGAAAGGGACGGCUAACUACGUG
Molecule: ribosomal RNA, 495 nt
Filed under: uncultured bacterium
Lineage: Bacteria
Description: partial 16S ribosomal RNA
Rfam family: Bacterial small subunit ribosomal RNA
Source: RNAcentral